Molecule: ribosomal RNA, 568 nt
Filed under: uncultured bacterium
Lineage: Bacteria
Description: bacterial SSU rRNA
Rfam family: Bacterial small subunit ribosomal RNA
Source: RNAcentral
AGUGGCGCACGGGUGCGUAACGCGUGGGAAUCUGCCCUUGGGUACGGAAUAACUCAGAGAAAUUUGUGCUAAUACCGUAUAAUGUCUUCGGACCAAAGAUUUAUCGCCCAAGGAUGAGCCCGCGUAAGAUUAGCUAGUUGGUGGGGUAAAGGCCUACCAAGGCGACGAUCUUUAGCUGGUCUGAGAGGAUGAUCAGCCACACUGGGACUGAGACACGGCCCAGACUCCUACGGGAGGCAGCAGUGGGGAAUAUUGGACAAUGGGCGAAAGCCUGAUCCAGCAAUGCCGCGUGAGUGAUGAAGGCCUUAGGGUUGUAAAGCUCUUUUACCCGGGAUGAUAAUGACAGUACCGGGAGAAUAAGCUCCGGCUAACUCCGUGCCAGCAGCCGCGGUAAUACGGAGGGAGCUAGCGUUGUUCGGAAUUACUGGGCGUAAAGCGCGCGUAGGCGGUUUUUUAAGUCAGAGGUGAAAGCCCAGUGCUCAACACUGGAACUGCCUUUGAAACUGGAAAACUUGAAUCUUGGAGAGGUCAGUGGAAUUCCGAGUGUAGAGGUGAAAUUCGUAGAUAU